UCAUAUGUCCUUCUACAUCAUUGUUCCUCAUUUUGUGCCCUUUGAGAUCCUCAAAUUUAGCCUUAGCUAUCAGUCAUCUCUUUGCUCUCUUAGUCUUGAUAAUCACAAUCAUUUUUAUCUAUCAUAUAUAUACAUAGACACACACACACACACACACACACACACAUAUAUAUAUAUAGACACACACACAGAUAUAUACACAUAUACAUAUAUAUAUAUAUACACAUAUA
RNAcentral lists this long non-coding RNA (230 nucleotides) under Elaeis guineensis (African oil palm). RNAcentral's name for it is "long non-coding RNA (EGUI_LNC043856)". The record is from RNAcentral. Lineage: Eukaryota; Viridiplantae; Streptophyta; Magnoliopsida; Arecales; Arecaceae.